AUUCAUUUGAUGAAAUUGUAAAUGCCGAUCAUCCAACUUAACAGGAACUGCACAUUUGUUCCUUUCUAGUUAAAAAAAAAUAAAAUGUUGCCAGUUAAUAGAGCAGAUCUCUCUGUGGAAAUAUGUAGCCGAGGUUCGAGUUGUUUGCAAAUAAAAUAGAAAGCUCUUCUGUCUUCUCUUUGUUAACAGUCCUCAGAGGAUGAGCAGGCUUUUGUUAGCAAAUCCGGCUCCAGCUUUGAAACCCAGCACCACCACCUGCUUCACUGCCUGGAAAAAACCACGAAUCACGAGUUUGUGGACGAACAAGUCUUUGAAGAAAGCUGCAUGGAAGUUGCAACUGUUAAUCGUCCUUCAAGUCACAGUCCCUCACUGUCUUCACAACAAGGAGUCACCAGCACCUGCUGUUCACGACGACACAAAAAAACUUUUCGCAUCCCAAAUGCCAAUGUAUCAGGAAGCCAUCAAGGUAGUAUACAAGAACUCAGCACGAUUCAGAUCAGAUGUGUGGAGAGAACACCUCUGUCUAACAGCCGAUCCAGUUUAAAUGCCAAAAUGGAAGAGUGUGUUAAACU
RNAcentral lists this small RNA (572 nucleotides) under Pan troglodytes (chimpanzee). RNAcentral describes it as "retained intron". The record is from RNAcentral. Lineage: Eukaryota; Metazoa; Chordata; Mammalia; Primates; Hominidae.